RNAcentral lists this transfer RNA (74 nucleotides) under Plantactinospora mayteni. RNAcentral describes it as "tRNA-Leu". It matches the Rfam family "tRNA". From Rfam's summary of the family: Transfer RNA (tRNA) molecules are approximately 80 nucleotides in length. Their secondary structure includes four short double-helical elements and three loops (D, anti-codon, and T loops). Lineage: Bacteria; Bacillati; Actinomycetota; Actinomycetes; Micromonosporales; Micromonosporaceae. The record is from RNAcentral.
GCCCGGGUAGCCCAACGGAAGAGGCCGCCGGCCCAGAACCGGUGCGUUGCAGGUUCGACUCCUGCUCCGGGUAC